Molecule: unclassified non-coding RNA, 2687 nt
Organism: Stylophora pistillata
Lineage: Eukaryota; Metazoa; Cnidaria; Anthozoa; Scleractinia; Pocilloporidae
Source: RefSeq, a predicted model, not a curated record
UGCAAUCAAAAGAAGGAAAAUAUAAUUAGUUGUCAUUGAGAACUUAAAAUUAAAAUUGGCAAACUUAAUUUAAACGAGAAUGCUUGAGGCCGAACUGAUUUUCGUUUUGAUUCUGAUUUGAGGUCCUUGACCAACUACAGGUUGGCAAAGCAACACCAGAGCGAUUCACUCUCUCAGUGAGAGAACGAAAAACUUUCGAUGACAAAAUAUGGCGGGUGCUUGCAAGUGCGACUACCCUCCUCCUUCCCGAAAGGACUUUGCACUGCCUAAAGAGGAUGUUCAGGAAAACGCACCUUCUUCAGCACCUAGUAAUCAGGAUGAAUUGUUUAACCUUCUUGUGGAUACAAGAUACAAAUGGGAAGCACAGGAAGAAUCUGACUCCAGCUUAAAUUCAAAACAUUCACCGUUCCCAUCUUGUUCUUUGUCGGAACCCGAAUUGUCUUCCCAGGUAAGACUUUCGAGAACGAUCCCUACCUCGAAUGCAGGUUUGCAAUCAAGUUCAGAUUAUGAACUCAGUUUUAAAUAUCUCAAGACGGAUGUGAACAAGUGCAAAUACUAAUGUUAUGGAGAGCGCCCGUAUUUUCUAGAAAGCGUUGUGUUACAUAAUUGCUAAAAAUAGAACUGAGGAAGUUUCUGGAACGCUUAAUCAUGCUGACUCAUUAAGAACUCUUAAUGGAACUUUCCAGAACCCUUAGUCAGCAAAAAUUGCUAUGAUGCAAUAGUAAUGUAAUUAUACCAAAAACAGUUGUAUUACAGAUCCCUAGAAUGAUCUAGAACAUUUUGUAAAACAUAUAUAGCGGGUUGCGGUCGUUUAAAGUCAGACCUUUUUUAGUGAGUUAGUGCUGUCGUGAAGAGCCCAGAGGAGCUAGCGUUGUUACAGAGCCGGAUUUAGAGAAUCGUUGCAGUGGAAUUAUGUAAUGUCACUGGAAUCAUCAGCCGUGUGGAAGGCUACGUCGAGAAUAGUUUAGUGGACAUCGAUAAGCUACAAGGAUCUCUGAAGAAAACUGGUGGACCGCCAGAGAAUGAUGAGAAUAAUUGCAAACGAAAUGAAGUAUUUGCUACCGAUGACCAUCAUUACUGGGAUUCAGACUCCGGUGAAGACGACGACAGGAUCAGCAUAGAAGAAUUACUUAAAACACCUGGAUGGCAGCUGCUCGUCAAGAACGUGGAAAGACGAAGAAAGCAAAGAAAGUCAGGCAAUCAAUGAAAAAUCACGCCAUUUUCAAAAAGCCAGUAUUUUUUUUUAAUCUAUUUAUUGUUUGCUAUCGCUUAAGGUGGCGAAAAGUGCUCUCCUCUUUCGAUCUCUCGAGAAGUCAAUCAUUUCCUGCCUUUUAAAUGAUAUCUGGCAGGGAAGUUUACAUUUCAGGAAAAAACGAAAUGUUUAGAUUACUGACAACAUUCAUGGCGAAGUAGUCUGUAGCUUUCAAACGUAGCUUUUUAUUUGUAUUUCCUCCUGCUUUGCUUUCCAACAUGUAAAGACGUUUCAUCUUGAUGCAAUAUAGCCUAAAUUAUUUAUGAGACACCUAGACUUAAAUACGUAAAUUUAUUUAUUCACUUUGAACACAAAACAGCUUACGACAAAGUUCGUAAAAACGUGCACGUGCUAAAUACUAAAAAAAUAUGUUAUAGCAUAUUACAAAAAGUAUGAAAAUCGUAAUCUUUUACAAUUUAUGAUUUAUGACCCGUCUCUUCCAAUCCGAAAAUGUGCAGUAAGAAAUCCCCAACUACUACUACGUAUGAUUCAUCAUUAAUUAACCGUCCCUUCUAACCCGUUUUAUCUAUGAAAUAUAUAAUACUGAAGAGAUCCCCAACUACUAUAACCAUUAUAAUGGUCAAUUAAAUAUCGGUAGCUCCGGUUAUAAAACAUGCCUCUUAAAAAAGCAAUUCUAAGCUGUUUUAAAAGCCUUGAUGUUUUCACUUUUCCUAUACUGACUUCCCUAGGUAACUUAUUCCAUAGCUUACUGGCAAUGAAGGAGAAAGAUUUAUACAGCCACUCAGAACCGUUACCUGCUAUGAAAAUGAUGUUCAAGCUGGACACUUGUUACAAAUAAGCUAGUUUCACACGGUAACAGUCACCCCUUACACGUUUAAUAUGUCCUGAACAGAACUGAAUGUUCGGAAGCGGCGAACGCUUUUUGCUCUUUUCAACCCGCCCCGGCAAAUGUGUAAUCACAUUCACUGCACGUAAUUUUAGGAUGAUUCAUCGCGAUGUAUAUAAAGCUCUUAUACCACCAUCCCUUUAUUGGGUGUACACUCGUGUGUCAGUAGCCAGUUUGUUUCUUAGAAUAUUCCCUCCCUAUAAUAAACUUCGAGUCGUAUACUGUAAUUGAAAUUGAUUUAAUCUGGUUUAUGCCUAUUUACAGUACAACCUAACCUAGAUACCGAUGUCGACGAAUGUCUUGUCUCGCUAAAAGCACUGAUCAAGUUAAUGUAGAUCAAUUAGUUUCAAAUGUCAAUCGAUUAGAUCAAAGGUCCACUGUACAAACAAAACAUUACAUAAUGAAUCGCUAAAACACGUGUCAUUUCACGUGGGUCCGCGUGCAACAUGUGCGAAGAAUCUGACACUCCCUACCUAAAGACGGCUGACUAGGAUAUUAAUCGUACCCACCUCCACAAGUUCAGACACAUUCAUUGUACGUAGCUUUUGGACGAUUUAUCGCGAUGUAAAUAAAGCUCUUGUACUACAG